GGGUCAGCUCCGUCAGAACACACUCUUAGAUGUGAGAGGACGUGUGUGUGUCGUCUGUCAGCGUUUCUGCUGAAAACAGCUUCGUACCAUCUCCCAACAGAACAGGAAGCAGGUGAAGGUAGAAAGUGUGUGUGAG
Molecule: long non-coding RNA, 136 nt
Organism: Nematolebias whitei (Rio pearlfish)
Lineage: Eukaryota; Metazoa; Chordata; Actinopteri; Cyprinodontiformes; Rivulidae
Exons: 3
Source: RefSeq, a predicted model, not a curated record